UGGGUGGUGGAUACAUACCUACCCUCGUGUGCGCUCAGAAGUCCAGACUAGGGUUUCUUUUUUAUCCCAUUUUUCUCUUUUCAAGGCAUAUUUUCUUUCCCAGUGGUGCUCAUUUUAUGUUGAAACUUAAGGAACUCAUCAAUUUGUUUUCUUUGAGCACACAUCACUGGUACGUGGAAGUGUGCUGUGAAGAUCCUGGCCUGGAAAAGUCCUUCGACCCCACCAAGAAGGGCAAGGAAGCUGGUCUGCACUCCGAGGGCACACAGAAGCCACACGAUUCAUGCCUCUCUGUUUGGGAAAUGAGAACAGUACUGCCCUCCCAGCACAGCUGUGAAAAUUAAAGGAGCACAUGAGAGUCUCGCCAGCAUGUGGGGGUUCCUUUUGGACUGAGAGGCUCGUGUCUGCAGCUCCUGCCAUCCCCAGGGCUUCGUCCUGAAUGCUAUGAAGAGGUUACUGAAAAGGAUGACGAACGGGAAGACCUCGGAGGGGGUAUGGAGUUAUUUCCCUGUUACUCUGACUCCUGAGCAACAGCCCAGGGGCUCUGCACCUCCAGAACACCAGCCUGGCUCAAAGAAAUUAGCAUGGCCUGCAAUAUUCUUUCCAUUCUCCCUCGUUCAGAACCCUCUGGGAGAACUCUGAACCAUGAGACAGGAUUCCUUAAAUGCAUAUUUUUAAAAAAUGUAGUCUUGAUUUGUUUUAAGUUCAGAAAAGUUAGAACUAGCCUCUUUACCAGAAAACUUUCUCCCAAUCCUUAGACUGUGGGAGAGAGAGGAAGAGAAACAAGGGGCAGACCUGUCUUGAUCUGACACGAGCUGCCUCCUAUUUGAAGCCUUGCCACUAAAGCAGGGAUAGCAAUUUCCUUAAUGGUGCUCCCUGCACCCUCCUGACCUGGGUUCUGGUGUCCUCAUACUGAAUCCCUCUGGAAGCACAAACUUGAAAUAUCUGCACAUCUUUUCACGAUCUUGAAAGUCGUUCAAGCUUUCCCCACCUUUUCCGUAUGUCUGCACAGUUCGGUUUGGGGAAAAAACCUGAAGAACUUAUCAUCCUCCACUCCCUGGCUUUUCCUUCUC
Molecule: long non-coding RNA, 1070 nt
Organism: Tupaia belangeri chinensis (Chinese tree shrew)
Lineage: Eukaryota; Metazoa; Chordata; Mammalia; Scandentia; Tupaiidae
Exons: 4
Source: RefSeq, a predicted model, not a curated record